Molecule: ribosomal RNA, 465 nt
Filed under: Vreelandella stevensii
Lineage: Bacteria; Pseudomonadati; Pseudomonadota; Gammaproteobacteria; Oceanospirillales; Halomonadaceae
Description: partial 16S ribosomal RNA
Rfam family: Bacterial small subunit ribosomal RNA
Source: RNAcentral
CCUACGGGGUGCAGCAGUGGGGAAUAUUGGACAAUGGGCGAAAGCCUGAUCCAGCCAUGCCGCGUGUGUGAAGAAGGCCUUCGGGUUGUAAAGCACUUUCAGUGGGGAAGAAAGCCUUGGGGCUAAUACCCUCGAGGAAGGACAUCACCCACAGAAGAAGCACCGGCUAACUCCGUGCCAGCAGCCGCGGUAAUACGGAGGGUGCGAGCGUUAAUCGGAAUUACUGGGCGGAAAGCGCGCGUAGGCGGUCUGAUAAGCCGGUUGUGAAAGCCCCGGGCUCAACCUGGGAACGGCAUCCGGAACUGUCAGGCUAGAGUGCAGGAGAGGAAGGUAGAAUUCCCGGUGUAGCGGUGAAAUGCGUAGAGAUCGGGAGGAAUACCAGUGGCGAAGGCGGCCUUCUGGACUGACACUGACGCUGAGGUGCGAAAGCGUGGGUAGCAAACAGGAUUAGAUACCCGAGUAGUC